UACGUAGGCAGCGAGCGUUGUUCGGAGUUACUUGGACGUAAAGGGUGUGUAGGCGUUGUUUAAGUUUGGUGUGAAAUCUCCGGCUCAACUGGGAGGUGCGCCGAAUACUGAAUGACUUGGAGUGCGGGAGGGGAGAGUGGAAGUUCCUGGAUGUGAGCGGUGGAAAUACGGUAGAUAUCAGGAGGAACACCGGUGGCGAAGGCGGGUCUCUGGGCCGAUACUGACGCUGAGGAGCGAAAGCGUGGGGAGCGAACAGG
RNAcentral lists this ribosomal RNA (257 nucleotides) under uncultured bacterium. RNAcentral's name for it is "partial 16S ribosomal RNA". It matches the Rfam family "Bacterial small subunit ribosomal RNA", at positions 524 to 776 of the family's 1533-position model. The record is from RNAcentral.